AACGCUGGCGGCGUGCCUAAGACAUGCAAGUCGUGCGAGAAAGGGGCUUCGGCCCUGAGUACAGCGGCAUCCGGGUGAGUAACGCGUGGGCAACCUGCCUCGAAGUCUGGGAUAACCCGGGGAAACCUGGGCUAAUACCGGAUGAGCCCACGAGGUCUUCGGGCCUCGCGGGAAAAGAUGGCCUCUGCUUGCAAGCUAUCGCUACGAGAUGGGCCCGCGUCCCAUUAGCUAGUUGGCGAGGUAACGGCUCACCAAGGCUCCGAUGGGUAGCUGGUCUGAGAGGGCGAUCAGCCACACUGGGACUGAGACACGGCCCAGACUCCUACGGGAGGCAGCAGUCGGGAAUCUUGGGCAAUGGGCGCAAGCCUGACCCAGCGACGCCGCGUGAGGGAUGAAGGCCUUCGGGUCGUAAACCUCUGUCAGGAGGGAAGAACGACGGCGAGGUGAACAAUCUCGUUGUCUGACGGUACCUCCGAAGGAAGCGCCGGCUAACUCCGUGCCAG
RNAcentral lists this ribosomal RNA (503 nucleotides) under uncultured Desulfovibrio sp. RNAcentral's name for it is "bacterial SSU rRNA". It matches the Rfam family "Bacterial small subunit ribosomal RNA", at positions 32 to 511 of the family's 1533-position model. The record is from RNAcentral. Lineage: Bacteria; Pseudomonadati; Thermodesulfobacteriota; Desulfovibrionia; Desulfovibrionales; Desulfovibrionaceae.